Molecule: small RNA, 88 nt
Filed under: Flavobacterium saliperosum
Lineage: Bacteria; Pseudomonadati; Bacteroidota; Flavobacteriia; Flavobacteriales; Flavobacteriaceae
Description: Flavo-1 RNA
Source: RNAcentral
GACUAGCCCCGAUGGGAGCGGUAUCCUUUUUUUGCUUUCACAAAUGGCAAAAAAAGAUAGAGCUUCCCGAUAGCUAUCGGGACCUUUU